This 1604-nucleotide long non-coding RNA is filed under the name Oreochromis niloticus (Nile tilapia). RNAcentral's name for it is "lncRNA (ENSONIG00000031887.1)". The record is from RNAcentral. Lineage: Eukaryota; Metazoa; Chordata; Actinopteri; Cichliformes; Cichlidae.
AUGGCUGAUACGGAAACUAGCGACGGAUGCGAACAUCUGACCACCAAUCAAGUGACUCCUGUGCAGGUAACCGAGGGGACAGAUGGAGAGGCUGUGGAGGCCGUUUCAGAAGCAGCAACAUCGGUGGACGCUGGAGAAACGGAACACGUUCAUGAAUCUUCCCAUGAACUUUCCAAAGAGAGGGAAGAGGAUAAUGAUGCUGCUGCUGCUGCUGACAAAGAUAUGGAAAGUGAAGAAGCAGAACUUAAAGAAACUGAGACCGAGGUGAUCCACUCUGUUGGUUCUACAUCUCCAUCACAAGCUUUUUCUGCAGAGGAGACAGAGGAGACCGUUACGGUUAAUCAUGGUGAGCCAGGUAGCACCACAGAGCCCCAAAAAGAGGCUCCUGAGGUGAAAUCUGACGAGGGUCUUGAGGUGAUAUCUGAUGAAGGGGUUGAGUCAAAGGCAGAAGAUCUUGCAGUGAAAGAUGAGAGCCUAGAGGAAAGCCCUGCAGUAGCAGAUGUCAGUGAGGAUACAUGCAUGGACGCAGCUCCUGAUCAUGAGGAGGAGAACGAAAUAAAAAACACUGAUGAAAACAUGGACACAAGGAAUGACACUAAGGAGGAAGUCUGCACAGAGCAGGAGUCAUCCAUCGGCUGUAAACCAAAGGUUUUGACAGCGGGCGAUGAACUCGAUGAGAUGAUGGACAUCGGUACAGUGGAUCAGGUGGAGCAGGAAGCUCAGAUGAAAGAGGAGGAACAGAACAGCUUGAAGGAUAUGGAAAGCAGCCGCUCACCUGACGCUUCAAAUACAGGUAUAAAGAUGCUCUUUGAUUGGUAGAUUUGUAGAUGCAAAAUAGAAUCUUUAUGAUCUUGUAGGAAAUUAUCUAAAUAAAUAAAACUUUUAAUAUCAGCAAAUAUGAGAAAACAUCUACUCUGACACUCCUUCAUCUGCUAAAGGCCAAAAAUGUAUUUCCUAAAAAGUGACCACUGCAAACAUUUUGUAACUUUUAAACGCAGACAGGCUUCUCUAAAAAGACUCUUUGACCUUUGUUACCCUGCAACCUUUGUCGAGUCCACGUCAGAGCACACUGAGCUGUAGAAAUGCUUUCACUCCUCCUUUAAAGACAGCAUGGCAGAAAGUCUCCCAACAGUUGGCAGAACUGUGUGUUCUCAUUUGGAAGGCGUAGUUUUUGUCAUCCCACUAAAUCCUGUGUUUUAAAAUUCCCACACAGCCUCAGUGGCGGAGGACAGUAACUCUGUUACAGAGGAAGCUGAUGUGAAACCCACAACUUCAGACUUGAUGCAGUCCAGCUCGUCUCCAUCGUCUGAGGCCACAGGAAGUACAGGUGGGUGAUCUCAAUGCCAAACUACAAAUAGUAUGAAAUUAUAAUCUCAUUAUGUGGAAAAUCUUGGCAGCAGAACAAACUUUUAUAUUAAUAUUUUCAUUAAAUUUGUAAUAAAUAAACAAAAAAACCCCUAGAAGUCCACAUACAUAAAAAAUUGUAUAUAACAAGACUAAAAUGGUACGGUUCACAUGAAACGACUAUCCUGACUGAACCUUUGUGAAAUACAAAUGCUUUAUUAGAGUCCAAAGAUCUUUUCAAAUUUGGCUGAACAAACCCG